This is a non-coding RNA of Acanthosepion pharaonis, 115 nucleotides long. NCBI's taxonomy places the organism in Eukaryota, Metazoa, Mollusca, Cephalopoda, Sepiida, Sepiidae. The record is from the annotation of a GenBank genome assembly.
UAUGGCCAUAUCAUGUUGAAACAUUGGUUCCCCUGUACGAUCACUGAAGUUAAGUAACAUUGAACCUGGUCACUACCUAGAUGGGUGACUGCUUGGGGAUACCAGGUGUUGUAAG